This 463-nucleotide ribosomal RNA is filed under the name uncultured bacterium. RNAcentral's name for it is "bacterial SSU rRNA". It matches the Rfam family "Bacterial small subunit ribosomal RNA", at positions 339 to 795 of the family's 1533-position model. The record is from RNAcentral.
CCAGGGUGGCACCAGUAGGGAAUCUUCGGCAAUGGACGAAAGUCUGACCGAGCAACGCCGCGUGAGUGAAGAAGGUUUUCGGAUCGUAAAACUCUGUUGUUAGAGAAGAACAAGUAGGAGAGUAACUGCUCUUACCUUGACGGUAUCUAACCAGAAAGCCACGGCUAACUACGUGCCAGCAGCCGCGGUAAUACGUAGGUGGCAAGCGUUGUCCGGAUUUAUUGGGCGUAAAGCGAGCGCAGGCGGUCUUUUAAGUCUGAUGUGAAAGCCCUCGACUCAACCGAGGAAGGUCAUUGGAAACUGGAGGACUUGAGUGCAGAAGAGGAGAGUGGAAUUCCAUGUGUAGCGGUGAAAUGCGUAGAUAUAUGGAGGAACACCAGUGGCGAAGGCGACUCUCUGGUCUGUAACUGACGCUGAGGCUCGAAAGCGUGGGGAGCAAACAGGAUUAGAUACCCCAGUAGUC